Molecule: ribosomal RNA, 301 nt
Filed under: uncultured bacterium
Lineage: Bacteria
Description: partial 16S ribosomal RNA
Rfam family: Bacterial small subunit ribosomal RNA
Source: RNAcentral
CAGCCGCCGCGGUAAAACGUAGGGGGCGAGCAUUGUCCGAAGUUACUGGGCGUAAAGCGCGCAUAGGCGGCUUCUUAAGUCUGAGGUGAAAGGUUCAACGCUUAACGUGAACAGUGCCUUGGAUACUGGGGAGCUUGAGUAUGGGAGAGGGCAGUGGAAUGGCUGGUGUAGCGGUGAAAUGCGUAGAUAUCAGUCGGAACACCCAUGGCGAAGGCAGCUGCCUGGCCUAAUACUGACGCUGAGGUGCGAAAGCGUGGGGAGCGAACGGGAUUAGAUACCCCCGUAGUCCCUGUCUCUUAUU